This 433-nucleotide ribosomal RNA is filed under the name uncultured bacterium. Its description in RNAcentral is "partial 16S ribosomal RNA". It matches the Rfam family "Bacterial small subunit ribosomal RNA", at positions 28 to 507 of the family's 1533-position model. The record is from RNAcentral.
GACGAACGCUGGCGGCACGCCUAACACAUGCAAGUCGAACGAGACCGUCGGGUCUAGUUUUGCAGGGCUGCGGAACGCGUGGUAACCUGCGCUUAGGGUCGGAGUAACUCCCCGAAAGAGGUCCGAGUACCGCGAAUUCUCUUCGGGCCAAAGAUUUAUCGCCGUUGGAUGGGCCCGCGUUGGAUUACCUAGCUGGUAGAGUAAAAGCCUACCAAGGCGACGAUCGAUAGCUGGUCUGAGAGGAUGAUCAGCCACACUGGGACUGAGACACGGCCCAGACUCCUACGGGAGGCAGCAGUGGGGAAUAUUGGACAAUGGGCGAAAGCCUGAUCCAGCAAUGCCGCGUGAGUGAUGAAGGCCUUAGGAUUGUAAAGUUCUUUUACCCGGGAUGAUAAUGACAGUACCGGGAGAAUAAGCGACGGCUAACUCCGUG